RNAcentral lists this ribosomal RNA (187 nucleotides) under Serpula himantioides. RNAcentral's name for it is "partial 28S ribosomal RNA". It matches the Rfam family "Bacterial large subunit ribosomal RNA", at positions 663 to 859 of the family's 2925-position model. Lineage: Eukaryota; Fungi; Basidiomycota; Agaricomycetes; Boletales; Serpulaceae. The record is from RNAcentral.
AAAACCUAGCGAAAGCGACUGGAUCAAUAAAAUGAUGAUGGAUAAGUUGCUUCUAUUAGACCCGAAGCCAGGUGAUCUUUCCAAGACCAGAUUAUAAUGGAUCGAACGGGUGAAUGUUGCAUAAUUCUCCGAAGAGUUUUGGAAAGCGGCGAAAUACCAAUCUGACCUGGUGAUAGCUGGUUUUCUN